GAUGAACGCUAGCUACAGGCUUAACACAUGCAAGUCGCGGGGCAGCAUGGGGGUUGCUUGCAAUCCCCGAUGGCGACCGGCGCACGGGUGAGUAACGCGUAUCCAACCUGCCCUUCACCACGGGAUAACCCGGCGAAAGUCGGACUAAUACCGUAUGUUGUCCAUUGACGGCAUCCGAUUUGGACGAAAGGUUUGGCGGUGAAGGAUGGGGAUGCGUCCGAUUAGCUGGACGGCGGGGUGACGGCCCACCGUGGCGACGAUCGGUAGGGGUUCUGAGAGGAAGGUCCCCCACACGGGAACUGAGACACGGUCCAGACUCCUACGGGAGGCAGCAGUGAGGAAUAUUGGUCAAUGGGCGUAAGCCUGAACCAGCCAAGUAGCGUGCAGGAUGACGGCCCCAUGGGUGGUAAACUGCUUUUAUGCGGGGAUAAAGUGGCCCACGUGUGGGUUUUUGCAGGUACCGCAUGAAUAAGGACCGGCUAAUUCCGUG
Molecule: ribosomal RNA, 490 nt
Filed under: uncultured bacterium
Lineage: Bacteria
Description: partial 16S ribosomal RNA
Rfam family: Bacterial small subunit ribosomal RNA
Source: RNAcentral